Molecule: ribosomal RNA, 260 nt
Filed under: uncultured Glomus
Lineage: Eukaryota; Fungi; Glomeromycota; Glomeromycetes; Glomerales; Glomeraceae
Description: partial 18S ribosomal RNA
Rfam family: Eukaryotic small subunit ribosomal RNA
Source: RNAcentral
AAGCUCGUAGUUGAAUUUCGGGGUUAGUAGGUUGGUCAUGCCUCUGGUAUGUACUGGUCUCACUGAUUCCUCCUUCCUUGUGAACCGUAAUGCCAUUAAUUUGGUGUUGCGGGGAAUUUGGACUGUUACUUUGAAAAAAAUUAGAGUGUUUAAAGCAAGCUAACGCUUGAAUACAUUAGCAUGGAAUAAUGAAAUAGGACGUUCGAUCUUAUUUUGUUGGUUUUCUAGGAUUGACGUAAUGAUUAAUAGGGAUAGUUGGG